CAUGGUUCCCCCGAGCCAACAGAUCUCCAGUGGCCUCCCAGUGGCAGCCGGAGCUUGGGACUCUCUCAGAGUCAAAAGGAGAAGCCAUAACCUCUGAGCACGGACCAGGCCAGGAUCUGCCCUCCAGCAGUUUCACCUGUUUCCAUCAAGGGGCAGGAAGGCCAGGCAGUUGUUAAACCCGUUUCACCAGCGAGGACAUGAGAAGUGGACAGGUGAUGUGCCUCACUCAAGGUCACAUGGCCAGGAAGGUGUGAACAUAAGGUGAGGCCAGCAGCCGGACGUGGGAAAGGAAAACCAGUGGCCAGAUUCCAGAGAGGAUACACAGCGCUCGUCAUCACCACCAUCAGAGCUCCCAGCGACUGAGCACUUCCUGGUUGCCUGUGCUCUCGCCCAACCCCCUGAGCCUAUGGGAAAAGGCCUUUAAGUGGUAAAGAAUCCGCCUUCGAAUGCAGAGGACAUAGGUUCGAGGAACUAAGAUCCCACGUGCCGCCGGGCAACUAAGCCCACGUGCCACAACUACUGAGCUUGUGCACCUCAACUAGAGCCCGCCAGCCGCACACUACAGAGCCCACGCACUCUGGAACCCGCGCACCACAACUACAGAGCCCAGGUGCCCUGGAGCCUGUGUGCCACAACUAGAGAAGAGAAAACCUGCACAUCACAACUAGAGAGGAGCCCACACACCACAACGAAAGAUCCCACAUGCCUCAACGAAGAUCCUGCGUGCUG
Globicephala melas (long-finned pilot whale) is the source of this 729-nucleotide long non-coding RNA. RefSeq lists it as uncharacterized. The record is from RefSeq and is a predicted model, not a curated record. Lineage: Eukaryota; Metazoa; Chordata; Mammalia; Artiodactyla; Delphinidae.